Molecule: transfer RNA, 90 nt
Filed under: bacterium
Lineage: Bacteria
Also listed under: 5 other names
Description: tRNA-Leu
Rfam family: tRNA
About the family: Transfer RNA (tRNA) molecules are approximately 80 nucleotides in length.
Source: RNAcentral
GCCGAGGUGGCGGAACUGGGAGACGCGCUAGCCUCAGGAGCUAGUGCCCCGUGUAGGGGCGUAUGGGUUCGAAUCCCGUCCUCGGUACCA